Long non-coding RNA from Gallus gallus (chicken), 649 nucleotides. NCBI's taxonomy places the organism in Eukaryota, Metazoa, Chordata, Aves, Galliformes, Phasianidae. The record is from Ensembl.
ACCAUACCUAGACCCAAGAAGCCAGCAACCUUGCACAAAUCAGGAAUAAACCCAUUCACCAAGCUCUUGCUAGAUGGAAAAAUGGAGAAAGUGAGUGGUGAAUGAACGUGUCACAAACAGUUGAAUGUGAGACUUCUGGGCAUCCCAAUGCUCUCGGGGAUCCCAAUAUUGGGAUCUCAAUAUCUCGGAGAUACCGAAUGCUUCACAGAGAAGACAAGGGACAUCAGCUACAGAGAGGUGCAAAAGAGCUUUAGCAGAAGGCCCAGUACUUUCCAUCAGUCUGCCCCAGAGAGUGGCAUUCUCUGUCUUCCAGACACUUUUCAGAAGCAUUGUCACUAGCUCUGCAGCCCUGUUCAAUAAGGGCUGAAAUGUAUGUAUUAGCAAGAAUAUUUUACUGCUUGCAAGAAACCCCAUUCCAACCACUUAGAUCUGCUACAGGACAGAGAUUCUUCAACUUAUACUGGCACAGCUCAGCUCUCCCUACAGAGUCCAGACGUGAUGAUAUAUAAUGGGCAAAAUGAUGAGCAUCCUUAAAUAUGAGUGAUAUUGUCAGCACUUCAAGGAAAUUGUAUAUACAGAUCUACUUAGUUAAUAAUGAGACGUGCACACCUUCUGUGCACCUCACUGAGCACACAUUUAAACAUAUGGC